CAGAGGUGGCAAGCGUUGUUCGGAAUUACUGGGCGUAAAGGGCGCGUAGGCGGCCUUCUAAGUCAGACGUGAAAUCCCCAGGCUUAACUUGGGAACUGCGUCUGAUACUGGAGGGCUCGAGUGCGGGAGAGGGAUGUGGAAUUCCAGGUGUAGCGGUGAAAUGCGUAGAUAUCUGGAGGAACACCGGUGGCGAAGGCGGCAUCCUGGACCGACACUGACGCUGAGGCGCGAAAGCUAGGGGAGCAAACGGGAUUAGAUACCCCGGUAGUCCUAGCCCUAAAACGAUGAGUGCUUGGUGUGGCGGGUAUCGAUCCCUGCCGUGCCGAAGCUAACGCGUUAAGCACUCCGCCUGGGGAGUACGGUCGCAAGGCUG
RNAcentral lists this ribosomal RNA (373 nucleotides) under uncultured organism. Its description in RNAcentral is "bacterial SSU rRNA". It matches the Rfam family "Bacterial small subunit ribosomal RNA", at positions 526 to 896 of the family's 1533-position model. The record is from RNAcentral.